UUAAGUUCAGCGGGUAGUCCUACCUGAUUUGAGGUCAAAAUGUCAGGGGGUUGUCGUCCACUACAAAGAGCAAACGGACAGGUUAGAAGCAAAGCCCUAUAUAAGCAGCCGGCCUUCGGUGGCGUAGAUAAUUAUCACACCAGGGAUGGUCAACAAAGGUUUCGCUAAUGCAUUUAAGGAGAGCCGACUUCUGAGAAGCC
This 200-nucleotide unclassified non-coding RNA is filed under the name Tephrocybe sp. RNAcentral describes it as "partial internal transcribed spacer 2". Lineage: Eukaryota; Fungi; Basidiomycota; Agaricomycetes; Agaricales; Lyophyllaceae. The record is from RNAcentral.